Molecule: non-coding RNA, 714 nt
Organism: Saimiri boliviensis boliviensis (Bolivian squirrel monkey)
Lineage: Eukaryota; Metazoa; Chordata; Mammalia; Primates; Cebidae
Source: RefSeq, a predicted model, not a curated record
GCUUUUUGGGAACCAGAGGGGGACAGCGCUAGGUCCCCGGACAAAGCGUGGCGCCUGAGUCCACCCCAUAACUUCAUGGGCCAGCAACUUAGGGGAUGUGGGCCUGGUUACAGCUGCACAUGCCUUUUCUCUUCCCCCAAGACCACGGUUCUUCAGACCUGGAGCCACUUUCAGAGAAGAGUAUAAAUUGGACUGAAUUGAAAAAGGGAAAAGUUUGAGACUGCAGAAGAUGGAAUUCCUGGGGACGUUAAACUGGGCUAUGACGGAGCAGAUAGGGUUUCCUUAAUUACAGCAAGACACACCUAGUGUCUAGAGCCUGGAAGUCUUGGUCAAUGAUUCUUCCUAAUAUUUCAGUUUCUCAGCACUAACGUUCUUGCUACUAAAAUGAAGUGAGAAAUUAAUUUCUGAAGUAAAGAAAUAAACUAAAAUUCCUAGAAAAGAGAUAAGAAGCAAGGAGAAUGAGCCUUUGAAAAAUAGUCUUGACAAAGAUUGGCAUGACGGCAUGGAAGAAAGAGCCCCAGAUACCCAAUAUACAUCUCAAGGUCAACUUGUCCAAAACAGAACUACUGGUUUUCCCCUUGAAAUCUACUCUUCCUACAGCUUAUUACUCUCAAAUAGCUGGAGUGCAAUGGCAUAAUCUUGGCUCACUGCAACCUCUGCCUCCUGGGUUCAAGCAAUUCUCCUGCCUCAGCCUCCAGAGUAGCUGGAAUUACA